RNAcentral lists this ribosomal RNA (239 nucleotides) under uncultured bacterium. RNAcentral describes it as "partial 16S ribosomal RNA". It matches the Rfam family "Bacterial small subunit ribosomal RNA", at positions 1253 to 1500 of the family's 1533-position model. The record is from RNAcentral.
CCCAGCAAUGGGAUGCGAAUCUCGAAAGCCUGUCUCAGUUCGGAUUGGAGGCUGAAACCCGCCUCCAUGAAGUUGGAUUCGCUAGUAAUCGCGCAUCAGCCAUGGCGCGGUGAAUACGUUCCCGGGCCUUGUACACACCGCCCGUCAAGCCAUGGGAGCCGGGGGUGCCUGAAGUUCGUGACCGCAAGGAGCGACCUAGGGCAAAACUGGUGACUGGGGCUAAGUCGUAACAAGGUACC